Molecule: long non-coding RNA, 359 nt
Organism: Epinephelus fuscoguttatus (brown-marbled grouper)
Lineage: Eukaryota; Metazoa; Chordata; Actinopteri; Perciformes; Serranidae
Exons: 3
Source: RefSeq, a predicted model, not a curated record
GGCACUGUCACCAAUGUUUGAAGGAAGAGACGGCAAGUUAAACUUGGCUUUGGACAGUUCAGCUUUAAGAGAAGAUCGAUAUUUUAUCGCUGGCCAGGCCAUUGCUGCAAGUCUUGUCCAUGGGGGUCCUCCACCAGGAUUCAUUGCACCAACACUGUAUUCUCAUCUAGUUGGUGCCAUUUCCUCAAAGCCUGUCUUGGAAGACAUUGUUGAUACAGACCUCUAUGAGAAAGUUAAAAAGAGCAAAUGGGACCCUCAAAGCUAGGUAAAAUCCUAGCCUUUGCAACGGGUGCAAAUGUCAUCCCUCCAGUUGGCUUCUCUCCUCAACCAUCAAUUGCUUUUCUGCAUGAUCAGUCCAU